GGCCUCGUGGUGUAAGAGGGAACACACUUCUUCAGCACGUACUUCUGAACAAACAAUUUAGAUGAGAGCAAGGUUGAAAGGUCGUGGGUUCAAAUCCCACCUGGGCUA
Molecule: non-coding RNA, 108 nt
Organism: Hypoxylon fuscum
Lineage: Eukaryota; Fungi; Ascomycota; Sordariomycetes; Xylariales; Hypoxylaceae
Source: the annotation of a GenBank genome assembly